Molecule: ribosomal RNA, 437 nt
Filed under: uncultured bacterium
Lineage: Bacteria
Description: bacterial SSU rRNA
Rfam family: Bacterial small subunit ribosomal RNA
Source: RNAcentral
AACGCGAAGAACCUUACCUACCCUUGACAUGCUAGGAAUCCUGCAGAGAUGUGGGAGUGCUCGAAAGAGAACCUGGACACAGGUGCUGCAUGGCCGUCGUCAGCUCGUGUCGUGAGAUGUUGGGUUAAGUCCCGCAACGAGCGCAACCCUUGUCCUUAGUUACCAGCACGUUAUGGUGGGCACUCUAAGGAGACUGCCGGUGACAAACCGGAGGAAGGUGGGGAUGACGUCAAGUCAUCAUGGCCCUUACGGCCUGGGCUACACACGUGCUACAAUGGUCGGUACAGAGGGUUGCCAAGCCGCGAGGUGGAGCUAAUCUCACAAAACCGAUCGUAGUCCGGAUCGCAGUCUGCAACUCGACUGCGUGAAGUCGGAAUCGCUAGUAAUCGCGAAUCAGAAUGUCGCGGUGAAUACGUUCCCGGGUCUUGUACACACCG